This 253-nucleotide ribosomal RNA is filed under the name uncultured prokaryote. Its description in RNAcentral is "partial 16S ribosomal RNA". It matches the Rfam family "Bacterial small subunit ribosomal RNA", at positions 525 to 777 of the family's 1533-position model. The record is from RNAcentral.
ACGGAGGGGGCUAGCGUUGUCCGGAAUUACUGGGCGUAAAGCGCGUGUAGGCGGCAUAGCAAGUCGGGUGUGAAAGCCCUCAGCUCAACUGAGGAAGUGCGCCCGAAACUGCUGUGCUUGAGUGCCGGAGAGGAUGGCGGAAUUCCCCAAGUAGAGGUGAAAUUCGUAGAUAUGGGGAGGAACACCGGUGGCGAAGGCGGUCAUCUGGACGGUAACUGACGCUGAGACGCGAAAGCGUGGGUAGCAAACAGGA